UACGUAGGGUGCAAGCGUUAAUCGGAAUUACUGGGCGUAAAGCGCUCGUAGGCGGCCUUCUAAGUCAGACGUGAAAUCCCCCGGCUUAACCUGGGAACUGCGUCUGAUACUGGGAGGCUUGAGUAUGGGAGAGGGAUGUAGAAUUCCAGGUGUAGCGGUGAAAUGCGUAGAUAUCUGGAGGAAUACCGGUGGCGAAGGCGGCAUCCUGGACCAUAACUGACGCUGAGGCGCGAAAGCUAGGGGAGCAAACGGG
RNAcentral lists this ribosomal RNA (253 nucleotides) under uncultured bacterium. RNAcentral describes it as "partial 16S ribosomal RNA". It matches the Rfam family "Bacterial small subunit ribosomal RNA", at positions 524 to 776 of the family's 1533-position model. The record is from RNAcentral.